Molecule: transfer RNA, 75 nt
Filed under: Stenotrophomonas maltophilia
Lineage: Bacteria; Pseudomonadati; Pseudomonadota; Gammaproteobacteria; Lysobacterales; Lysobacteraceae
Description: tRNA-Val
Rfam family: tRNA
About the family: Transfer RNA (tRNA) molecules are approximately 80 nucleotides in length. Their secondary structure includes four short double-helical elements and three loops (D, anti-codon, and T loops). Further hydrogen bonds mediate the characteristic L-shaped molecular structure. tRNAs have two regions of fundamental functional importance: the anti-codon, which is responsible for specific mRNA codon recognition, and the 3' end, to which the tRNAs corresponding amino acid is attached (by aminoacyl-tRNA synthetases). tRNAs cope with the degeneracy of the genetic code in two manners: having more than one tRNA (with a specific anti-codon) for a particular amino acid; and 'wobble' base-pairing, i.e. permitting non-standard base-pairing at the 3rd anti-codon position.
Source: RNAcentral
GGGCGGUUAGCUCAGCGGUAGAGCAUUGUCUUCACACGGCAAGGGUCACAGGUUCGAUCCCUGUACCGCCCACCA